This 444-nucleotide ribosomal RNA is filed under the name uncultured bacterium. RNAcentral describes it as "partial 16S ribosomal RNA". It matches the Rfam family "Bacterial small subunit ribosomal RNA", at positions 338 to 795 of the family's 1533-position model. The record is from RNAcentral.
CCUACGGGUGGCAGCAGUGGGGAAUAUUGGGCAAUGGAGGAAACUCUGACCCAGCAAUGCCGCGUGAAUGAAGAAGGUCUUCGGAUUGUAAAGUUCUUUAGUCAGGGAAGAAGUCAAUGACGGUACCUGAAGAAUAAGCUCCGGCUAACUACGUGCCAGCAGCCGCGGUAAUACGUAGGGGGCAAGCGUUGUUCGGAAUGACUGGGCGUAAAGGGUGCGUAGGCGGUUGUACAAGUUAGAAGUGAAAUACCCAGGGCUUAACUCGGGUGCUACUUCUAAAACUGUAGGACUUGAGUGCAGGAGAGGUUAGUGGAAUUCCUAGUGUAGCGGUGGAAUGCGUAGAUAUUAGGAGGAACACCAGAGGCGAAGGCGGGUAACUGGACUGUAACUGACGCUGAGGCACGAAAGUGUGGGGAGCAAACAGGAUUAGAUACCCUUGUAGUC